Molecule: ribosomal RNA, 802 nt
Filed under: Vairimorpha sp.
Lineage: Eukaryota; Fungi; Microsporidia; Nosematidae
Description: SSU rRNA
Rfam family: Microsporidia small subunit ribosomal RNA
Source: RNAcentral
ACGUAGACGCUAUUCCCUAAGAUUAACCCAUGCAUGUUUUUGACAUUUAUUUGAAAAAUGGACUGCUCAGUAAUACUCACUUUAUUUAAUGUACAUUUGAAAAUAACUACGUUAAAGUGUAGAUAAAAUGUGUACAGUAAGAGUGAGACCUAUCAGCUAGUUGUUAAGGUAAUGGCUUAACAAGGCAGUGACGGGUAACGGUAUUACUUUGUAAUAUUCCGGAGAAGGAGCCUGAGAGACGGCUACUAAGUCUAAGGAUUGCAGCAGGGGCGAAACUUGACCUAUGGAUUUUAUCUGAGGCAGUUAUGGGAAGUAAUAUUAUAUUGUUUCAUAUUGUAAAAGUAUAUGAGGUGAUUAAUUGGAGGGCAAAUCAAGUGCCAGCAGCCGCGGUAAUACUUGUUCCAAGAGUGUGUAUGAUGAUUGAUGCAGUUAAAAAGUCCGUAGUUUAUAUUUAAGAAGCAAUAUGAGGUGUACUGUAUAGUUGGGAGAGAGAUGAAAUGUGACGACCCUGACUGGACGAACAGAAGCGAAAGCUGUACACUUGUAUGUAUUUUUUGAACAAGGACGUAAGCUGGAGGAGCGAAGAUGAUUAGAUACCAUUGUAGUUCCAGCAGUAAACUAUGCCAACGAUGUGAUAUGAUAUUAAUUGUAUUACAUGAUAGAAAUUUGAGUUUUUUGGCUCUGGGGAUAGUAUGAUCGCAAGAUUGAAAAUUAAAGAAAUUGACGGAAGAAUACCACAAGGAGUGGAUUGUGCGGCUUAAUUUGACUCAACGCGAGGUAACUUACCAAUAUUUUAUUAUUC